RNAcentral lists this ribosomal RNA (1344 nucleotides) under metagenome. RNAcentral describes it as "SSU rRNA". It matches the Rfam family "Eukaryotic small subunit ribosomal RNA", at positions 1 to 1379 of the family's 1831-position model. The record is from RNAcentral.
UCUGGUUGAUCCUGCCAGUAGUCAUAUGCUUGUCUCAAAGAUUAAGCCAUGCAUGUCUAAGUAUAAAUAGUAUACAGUGAAACUGCGAAUGGCUCAUUAAAACAGUUAUAGUUUAUUUGAUAAUUGACAAUUACAUGGAUAACCGUGGUAAUUCUAGAGCUAAUACAUGCUUAAACGCCCGACUUUAUGGAAGGGUGGUAUUUAUUAGACUGAAGCCAAUAUUCCUUGUGUCUAUUGCGGUGAUUCAUAAUAACUGAUCGAAUCUCUUUUUGAGAUAAAUCAUUCAAGUUUCUGCCCUAUCAGCUUUCGAUGGUAGUGUAUUGGACUACCAUGGCAGUAACGGGUAACGAAGAAUUAGGGUUCGAUUUCGGAGAGGGAGCAUGAGAAACGGCUACCACAUCUAAGGAAGGCAGCAGGCGCGUAAAUUACCCAAUCCUGACUCAGGGAGGUAGUGACAAGAAAUAGCAAACCGGGAACCUCAUGGUUUCACGGUAUUGCAAUGAGAACAAUUUAAAACCCUUAGCGAGAAUCAAGUGGAGGACAAGUCUGGUGCCAGCACCCGCGGUAAUUCCAGCUCCACUAGCGUAUAUUAAAGUUGUUGCAGUUAAAAAGCUCGUAGUUGAACCUCUGUCUGGGGCUAGUUUUGGCUUUGGUCAGGCUAGUUCUAGGCAUCCGCCUACAAGACUUAGAGGGCAUUCAGUUGUUCACUAGGAGGAGUAGGCAUUUUACUUUGAAAAAAUUAGAGUGUUUAAGGCAGGCAAUCGCCCGCAUAUAUUAGCAUGGAAUAAUAGAAUAGGACACUUUUCCAUUUCGUUGGUUAUUGGAAUCGUGUAAUGAUUAAUAGGGACAGUUGUGGGCAUUUGUAUUUAAUUGUCAGAGGUGAAAUUCUUGGAUUUAUUAAAGACAAACUAACGCGAAAGCAUUUGCCAAGGAUGUUUUCAUUAAUCAAGAACGAAAGUUAGGGGAUCAAAGACGAUCAGAUACCGUCCUAGUCUUAACUAUAAACUAUUCCGACUCAAUGUUUGACUGGCUUAUAUAACCAGUUGAGCGUUGUAUGAGAAAUCAAAGUCUUUAGGUUCUGGGGGGAGUAUGGUUGCAAAGCUGAAACUUAAAGGAAUUGACGGAAGAGCACAACCAGGAGUGGAUUCUGCGGCUUAAUUUGACUCAACACGGGGAAACUUACCAGGUUAAAACAAUAGUGGGAUUGACAGUUUGAGAGCGCUUUCUUGAUUGGUUGGGUGGUGGUGCAUGGCCGUUCUUAGUUGGUGGAGUGAUUUGUCUGCUUAAUUGCGUUAACGAACGAGACCUUAACCUGCUUACUAGACUGGCGAUCAUCAAUCGUUA